This is a long non-coding RNA of Bos taurus (domestic cattle), 441 nucleotides long. The record is from Ensembl. NCBI's taxonomy places the organism in Eukaryota, Metazoa, Chordata, Mammalia, Artiodactyla, Bovidae.
GGGCUGUGUGGAGGGCCUAGAUACUGACACCGCUUGCAAAGAGGUCAGAAGCUAGUACCAUGCAGACAUGGCUUGGAGGAGCAACAGGAAGGCAACUUGGAGGAAAUUCAGGCUUCCCCUGGGCACUCUCUGUUCUCAUCUUCCUAGAGUGAUGGGACCAGAUGCCAUGAUCUUAGUAACCCCCAAACUUGUUGGCAUGACACACACAACAGUCUUCCCUAAGAAGUGGGAUCUGGAUCCACUUCUACCCGUCCUCCAUCCCCUCUCAUCACUCCUUGCUUUGAGUCCUAAGUGGAUAAGAAUCCUGGCAAUGCAGAUGUGGGUUCAAUCCCUGGCCCAGGAAGAUUUCACACGCGUUGGAGCAACUAAGCCCAUGUGCCACAACUGCUGAGCCCAUGCAACGAGAGAAGCCACCAAUGAGAAGCCCACACACCACAACGA